Cicer arietinum (chickpea) is the source of this 2130-nucleotide non-coding RNA. The record is from RefSeq and is a predicted model, not a curated record. NCBI's taxonomy places the organism in Eukaryota, Viridiplantae, Streptophyta, Magnoliopsida, Fabales, Fabaceae.
UAGUCCAGGCUACAACACUACAUAAACAGAUGAGGUAUCUGUUUAAAAGAUAAUAAAAUAAAAAAUAUAAAAAACAAAAAGAAAAGAUUUGUUGUAUUCUGCAUACUUCGUGUGGGAAGAACAUUCAUUUUGAAACAAGAGCCGAUGAAAAAACUGCAUCUAUGUUGCUCGAUUUCGCAUUGUGGCUGAAUGGAGGAACAAAAAACUGUUUUUUGUUUGUGACCUAAUCAACCACACCGACUAAAUUCGUUGAUAUCAUAGAGUUUAUAUAACGCUACAUCACAACACAAAUUGUCCCUUCGGGGACAUCCGAUAAAAUUGGAACGAUACAGAGGAGAUUAGCAUGGCCCCUGCGCAAGGAUGACACGCACAAGUCGAGAAAUGGUCCAAAUUUUUUUGAGGUUUUUCCCCCUUCAUUUCGGUUUCUUUCUUCUCACUUUCUAUGCUUUUGAAAAUGUUUCUUUUUGGUGGCUUCUUCUUCUUCUAAUGCAUUUCAUGUUUCUGUUCUACCUUUACAGAGGUACAUUUCAUCUUCUUGCUCUUGCUAUUUUUCACAGUAGAUAAGAUUGUUCAUUUAGCUCUACGAUUUUCACGUUUAUUUUUCUAACUUUAGCUUUGCUUUUCUUCACUUUCAUGCUCUUAAAUUAUCGGUCCCUUAUACAAUUUUAUUUCUACGCCAAAUAUUUCAAAUGCAAUGAGUUGUUUUCUCAAUUUCAAUUUUACUUGUUAAACCCCAAAAUUUUCCGGUGGGAAGUUCAUCAAGCCAAAAUAAGUAAGGGAAAACACCUUGAAUGUCAUGUGUUUGAUAAAAUGUCACAUUAAAAAAUUCUCUUAACUUGAGUUGCUGUUUACAUUUGGUUUUGUCUCUCUUUCAGUACCCAUUCAAUAAAGAGUUGUUAUUAAUAAUUUGGAAAAAAUAAAUAAAUGCUAGUAGGGUCAAAAAGAAAAAAAUUCAUCUUGCCAAUACAUUUUCAAUAUUGAGUGAGUCAAGGAAGACUGUGUCAUUUGGUUGGUUUAAAUCUUCUAUUAUCAAUAUUCAUUGCUACCUCCCAAAAUCUCAGGUUAAUUUUUCUACACUUUUUUGGUUUAGGUUUUCUUUGAUUUACAUGAUAUUUUUUUAACCAAUAUCACUGGAUAUCUAUUAUUUUUCGUCUGUCCAAAGUUAAUCUUUUUGGACUCAAGGGCUAAAAGGUGCUGCAAUGUAGUGCUCAUCAUGUUAGUCUUACACUUUACAAGCUCUCUGUUGGUGCCUCUCGUAGUUUAAGAAUAAUAAUCUAUCUAAUAUUUGUGAAGGCAUAAUUUGAGCAUGAUGGGAAGAAGGAUGACAUAAUUCGAGCUCUUCUGUUUUUUGUGUUACAACAUGCACUUGUGCAUUCUCUCCAAGUAACCUGAAUCGGCAAAAAGUGUAAGAAAUAAUUGAUGUUGUCUAACUUAGUUGGUAAGUAAUAUGCGGGUUUAAGUCUUAGGCUAAAUGUAGGUAGUUGAACAGCCAUUACUGCCUUAUAUAUUUUUAUUUAUCUUGUUGCUCAUUCUAUUUUGAAACUCAAGAGGCUGAAGCUCACUGUAGUGUUUCCAUAUCUUUGAAAUGUAUUUAAGGAUUUUUAGUUUUUACUUAACAUAGUUCUGUGCAAUUAAAGGAUUUCGGGUAGUGUUUAUUGUUUUUCCGGUUUAUACAGAGUUGGUGAUGGAAGAUACUGAUCGAGUUGUGUGGGUGGUCCAAUUUUUACCACAAUAUAUAAUAGUUACUUUGAACAUCAUGAAGGUCGUGCUCUCUGAAUUUUCAUCUCUUGCUCAUCAGAUACCAAUGUACCAAGAAAAACAAACCAGGCUGCACUCAAUUCAUGGCAUCAAUGUAUUACUAGACUCUUGUUUAUCUCCUUGUUUUUGUGCUACCGCAUGCACUUUUGCAUUCUCUUUAGGUAACCUUAAUUUUCAAAAAAAGUAAGGUAGAACUAGCUGGAGAAUAUAUAUGCAAGGUUUGUAAGCUUUUAAGGUAGAUAGGAUAGAAGGAGAAUAAGUGUAUAUUUGCUAUGCAAGCUUGAUAAGUAACCAUUCAGAUUUUUUGUAUAGUAUCUUUAUCAUUUUUAAUUAAAAAUGUUACAUUUAAAAGCAUACUAUGUUACGGUUGAA